Molecule: long non-coding RNA, 1154 nt
Filed under: Capra hircus (goat)
Lineage: Eukaryota; Metazoa; Chordata; Mammalia; Artiodactyla; Bovidae
Description: lncRNA (ENSCHIG00010027104.1)
Source: RNAcentral
ACAAUUCAUUCUUGUACACGAGAGAAAACAGCACCGGAUGUCAGGCAUGCUGUUAAGUGUGGUGAUUAGCCUGCUGAUCCUUAUCUUAAAGCUUCUCAAAUCCUUAAAUGGACUUGAUAUCCUUCCUGAUAAAAUUGUUUUCAACAUGUGUUCUACAUUGUUAAGUUUUUCCAAUUUAUGGGACAUAAAUGUGAUCAAUUUUAAAGCUGGUAAACUUUAAAGGAAAUUUUGGAAAACAAAGUGUUAUUCAUUUUACCUAAAUGGCCUAAAAUACUGUAAAAUACUUUCCUUGUGCCCCAACAAAUUUAGUAACUGCCUAAAUGCACAUCCUACAAAAUUUAUAAAAUGCUGAAUGGAAUGUUAGGUUGAUGCUAAAUGGUAACUGUUACAGACAAACUGAAUAAACUGUUGUGAAACUGCAGCUGAGAAAAUUUCUCUUCACUUCAAAGACAAGGCAUUUAAACAUCAGAACCUGGGAAGGAGUUCAUGAAAUAUGAAAUAAGUCAUUUUUAGAAAAUGUAAUCAUUGAAUAAGAGAGCAAAAGAAAAUACUUAAAUAUCUAGAAUAAAACCUUGAACUCAGUCUCUGGCAACUAUGAUACAUUUAAAUAUAUGAAAAUCAGCUGAAUAAUAAAUAUGUACAAUUUGCAAUGGAUUAUUAGAGGAUAUCUGAAAGUUUUUUAAGCCUAUUUUUAAACUUCAGUGACAAAUAUAAUCAUUUUUAAAUGAAAAAUGGCAGCAUUUUUUUUUCACCCGGAAGUUUACAUGGAGUGGACUGAAUUCUCUAAUAUAAGCAACAGAAUUCCAGACAUGUCCCAGAACAAUAUAAAAUUCCAAAGAUUUUCCCAGCAGUCAAACUUACGUAUAUGGAAUAUUUGCAACAUAAAAACUUCUGGUUUUUUACACACAAUUUUUCAGGAUGGAGUCAGACCUGGACUUGUCAUCUCUGUUUUGGGACUUGCAAGGUAGUCAUUCUAUUUUAGGCUUGUUAGAGAUCUGUAACUUGCCACUGAUGUUAGAGACCCACAGAGGCCAAGCAAUGAGGGAGUAUCUUCUUUACCUGAAAAUUAGGAUAACAAAUAUUUAAUUGCUCUUGAAACUUGAUACUAGUAAGAUCCUAAAACCAUUAAACUUUACAUACUGUAUGCUGCUGCU